RNAcentral lists this ribosomal RNA (309 nucleotides) under uncultured eukaryote. Its description in RNAcentral is "partial 18S ribosomal RNA". It matches the Rfam family "Eukaryotic small subunit ribosomal RNA", at positions 1470 to 1796 of the family's 1831-position model. The record is from RNAcentral.
CCCUUAGAUGUUCUGGGCGGCCCGCGCACUACAUUGGCACUGUCAGCAAGGGUCUGAAACUAAAACUUUUGGGUAUUCUGAGAACUGGUGUCGUGACUGGGAUUGACCCUUGCAAUUAUUGGUUAUGAACGAGGAAUUCCUUGUAAUCGCGGUUUAUCAGCCCGCGUUGAAUGCGUCCCUGCCCUUUGUACACACCGCCCGUCGCUCCUACCGAUGAAUCGUCCGGUGAAGUUCAUGGAGUAGUGGUUGUUCCAUCCGCUGUCGAAGUGAAAUAAACCUCAUGAUUUAGAGGAAGGGGAANUCGUANCA